Molecule: long non-coding RNA, 1227 nt
Filed under: Citrus sinensis (sweet orange)
Lineage: Eukaryota; Viridiplantae; Streptophyta; Magnoliopsida; Sapindales; Rutaceae
Description: long non-coding RNA (CSIN_LNC000615)
Source: RNAcentral
UUUGUUUGGGCGUGCUGGUCGUUUGAAUAAGGCAUUAGAGACCAUAAACAGUAUGCCAUUUGCACCUGAUGCAGGUGUCUGGGGAACGUUGCUGGGAGCAUGUCGGGUCCAUGGCAAUGUUGAGCUAGCUGAAGUGGCUUCAAGUCAUCUGUUUGAUUUAGACCCACAAAACUCAGGCUACUAUGUGCUGCUUUCAAAUAUACAUGCUGAUGCUGGACAGUGGGGAAAUGUGAAUAAGAUACGACGUUUAAUGAAAGAAAGAGGAGUUCAGAAGAUACCCGGGUAUAGCUGGAUUGAGCUCAAUAACAUAACCCAUUUGUUUGUUGCUGCAGAUGAAAGUCAUUCAGAGUCUGCCCAGAUCUACUCUUUGUUGAACAUUCUUCUUCCAGAGCUGGAAAAGGAGGGUUACAUCCCUCAACCCUGCCUUUCAAUGCACCUGCAAGCCUUAGGUAUGUGAUUACCGGAGAAGGUUCGAUCUUUCCGACUGACAAGGAGCUCUGCACAUUCUUGUGAACUUACCAUAUUUUGUUAUUUAUAAACCGGUAAACACUAUAGGAAAAUUCAACUGAACCCAAUUAGAAUUUGACUUAAAAACACUUUGUAGGAUUUAUAUAAAUGCAAUGUGUAACACAUCUAUUUUGACAAAUAUCAAUAUAUGAGCCAUCAAAUUUUGAAGCUCUCGAGCUAUGUUUCCGGAAAGGAUAGUCUAAAAAAUUUGAGAAGAUAUUUGCACAAACAAAUAAUAUGAGAAAAGGAGAAAUAAAUUGAUUGAAGCAACUAGAGGAAUUGCUAUGAGAACCAGGAUAUGAACGAAAAGUAUUCGACUAUAUAUGCACAUUUGAUCUCUUCUUGAGUAAAAAUAUACAUGAGUGAUUGGUAGUUAAUAAAUAAAAAAAAAUUAAAUUCUACUCAUAUAUUAUUACUUAAAUACACAUGAGAUAAGAUCAUUAAAAGCUCACGAGGGAUCUUUAUCCGUUAAAAAUUCCUGCAAGUGACCAAAAUCAACGCUAAUUGGGCCAAGUGUUCGUCUGCCUGCGGGUUUUUAACUUACCCAGCUUUGGCCUUGCCUACGUUUGUAAACCAUGUAAAAUGGGGUGACUGUUCACAUAAAAGAACAGGCUUCCUGCACCACUACUUUGUUGAGAAAUGAAGAGUUGGGUCUUCUUAAAUUAAUGCCUAUUUUGUGGAUGAAAAAAGAUGUCUGCUGAGUAAGUAACAUCUCAUAAA